CAAGAGCGUAUAUUAAAGUUGUUGCAGUUAAAGCUCGUAGUUGGAUUUCUGGUACAACGCGCCUGGCCCGCUUACGUGAGUGCCGGUGCCGCGUUGUCCAUCCUUCUAGAAAACGUCUCUACUCGGGCAACUGAGCCGGAUUCGCGAUCUAGAUCUUUUACUUUGAAAAAUUAGAGUGUUUAAGCAGGCUAUUGCCUUGAAUAUAUUAGCAUGGAAUAAUAAUCUAGGACUUCGGUUCUAUUUUGUUGGUUUCUAGAUCUGAAGUAAUGAUUGAUAGGGAUAGUUGGGGGUGCUAGUAUUAAGGGGCCAGAGGUGAAAUUCUUGGAUUCUCUUAAGACUAACUUAUGCGAAAGCAUUCACCAAGGAUGUCUUCUUUAAUCAAGAACGAAAGU
RNAcentral lists this ribosomal RNA (392 nucleotides) under uncultured eukaryote. RNAcentral's name for it is "bacterial SSU rRNA". It matches the Rfam family "Eukaryotic small subunit ribosomal RNA", at positions 592 to 990 of the family's 1831-position model. The record is from RNAcentral.